GACUUCUACUUAUGCUAACUUUAUGAGGUCAUUUAUGCUUGGGAGCAUGCUUGAAUGAGGACUUUCAAAGAUUUUGGUUGGAGAAUGAUUCUUUUUUAGUUUGUCACGUUUUUUUUUUUUUUUACUAGUGAAUAAUUUAUUGUAGUAUUAGAGAAAGAUAAUGUCGGUACUUGCAUUUUUGUAACAAACAUAUGUAAUUUAAUGUUUCUCAUGUUUUUUUAUGAAAGAAAUCAUUAUAAUCAUA
Molecule: long non-coding RNA, 244 nt
Filed under: Vigna radiata
Lineage: Eukaryota; Viridiplantae; Streptophyta; Magnoliopsida; Fabales; Fabaceae
Description: long non-coding RNA (VRAD_LNC009128)
Source: RNAcentral